CCUUGUCCCAUCGCGCACUAGCAACUCCUGUGGCAGGCUGGGCGCAGUGCACACUGACACAGUGUUUUGGAGGACGCACAGCUCUCAACCUUCUCCUCUCCCGAGUCUGUACGGGAGUUGCAGCGAUGAGACAAAACUGUACCAGUUGGGAGAAAACGGGGUAAAAGAAAAAGAGGUACGUGUCGUCGGGCUGUCUUCCUUCAGGAAUCUGUGGAGAAAAUUGCUGCCCAACAUUUCAAGCACUAAGCCCAGGACAGACCUGUGCUGGCAGUGCCAGAGGAACAACUAUCAGGUCGUCAAAUCUGCCAAUCUGCCAGAAGCUGUUAAGUCAGCCGAACUGAAGAAGCAAGAGCAGCAUCUCCUGCUUGUUCAGAGUGAGCGGUCUGUAUACUAGAAGAUGGUUGCUGACUGCAAGACCUGUCAAGACCUGUAGUUGUCUCUGGGGGCCCCAACUGAACCAGCAAGCAAAGACAUCAGGAUGCAUUACAGCUUUGGAUUUGCUCAACAAGUGCACUAUCCUUCUGACCCUAUGCAGCCAGAUCCCAAUCGAUUUUUUUAACUCCUCACAAGUGUGGCUUGUUUGGUGUCUGCUGUGAAGGCAUGCUGUACCUCAACAAGUCAACUACUUGAUUGAUGAAGACAUGUCAUCCAGCAAAGGCAGCAGCGCAGUCAUCAACUACAUGCACCAUUUCUUCACCAAAUGUGGAGUUCGGGAAACACGUGUGGACCUGAAUUGGGAUAACUGCAGUGGCCAAAACAAGAACAAGUUUGUGCUCUGGUAUUGUGCCUGGCAGACCAUGCACAAGCUCCACCACAGUCUGAAUCUUCACUUCCUGAUCACAGGCCACACCAAGUUUGCCCCCGACUGGUGCUUCGGCCUCAUCAAGCAACGCUUCAGAAAGACCAAAGUGAACACUGUCUGAGAUUGCUGUUGUUGUGAAUGACAGCACUGUGACAGGUCAACAUCUCACAGCUGGUUGGACUGGAGGAUUGUACGGUGUUGGUGGAAAGCUAUGGCUGGCAACAACUCCGUACUUCAGGCCGCUGCCACAGAUCAAGCAGUACCAGCACUUCAGGGGAAUGUCAUUUUCAUUGCAUUCUUCAAAGCUCUGGAGCCUGGUGUUGUCACCAAGGAGCAUUCAGACUCAGUAGGGACCAGGUUUCAGCUGCUGCGCAAUUCUGACAGGGAGUUUUGCAACGAAGAGGCUAUGGACAUCACAUGCCCUGCACCAAAGGCAAGGGCAGGACAGAAACAAGCUCUCCAAAUAUUUACAUUUUAGUCAUUUAGCAGACGCUCUUAUCCAGAGCGACUUACAGUAGUGAAUGCAUACAUUUCAUACAUUUUUUGUUUGUUGUACUGGCCCC
This 1365-nucleotide long non-coding RNA is filed under the name Salmo salar (Atlantic salmon). Its description in RNAcentral is "lncRNA (ENSSSAG00000094381.1)". The record is from RNAcentral. Lineage: Eukaryota; Metazoa; Chordata; Actinopteri; Salmoniformes; Salmonidae.